CCGACCUUAGCUCAGUUGGUAGAGCGGAGGACUGUAGUUUGAGUGCUGAAAUCCUUAGGUCGCUGGUUCGAAUCCGGCAGGUCGGA
This 86-nucleotide transfer RNA is filed under the name Solanum tuberosum (potato). RNAcentral describes it as "tRNA tRNA-Tyr". It matches the Rfam family "tRNA". Rfam says of the family: Transfer RNA (tRNA) molecules are approximately 80 nucleotides in length. Their secondary structure includes four short double-helical elements and three loops (D, anti-codon, and T loops). Lineage: Eukaryota; Viridiplantae; Streptophyta; Magnoliopsida; Solanales; Solanaceae. The record is from Rfam by way of RNAcentral.